This 712-nucleotide long non-coding RNA is filed under the name Monodelphis domestica (gray short-tailed opossum). RNAcentral describes it as "lncRNA (ENSMODG00000031838.2)". Lineage: Eukaryota; Metazoa; Chordata; Mammalia; Didelphimorphia; Didelphidae. The record is from RNAcentral.
CACGCCCAGGAAGCAGGGGGCGCCACGCCCAGGAAGCAGGAGGUGCCACGCCCAGGAAGCAGGAGGCGCCACGCCCAGGAAGUAGGGGGCACCACAUGGAGACAGCAGGGAGGCUGCCUCACUCUUACCUCCCACCCUGAAUGAAAGAGGGCGCCUAGGUUCUCCUUGCAUACGGUUGCUGAACCUGAAGGAGGAAUUAAUUGCCAGAUGAGAAUGAGACUUUGCAGUAAAGGGAAAGAAGUCAUGGAUCUGGAGCCAAAAUAAAAUGGGAGAAAGAAAAGAAUAGGAACAAUUAAACACUGCAGCUUGUCAUACUGCUACUCAUGUUCCCUACGUCUAACUGUUCUUAUGGAAGUCACUUCUUUGCUGUUCGAGAUCUCCAUGAAAACCCAACUGAGGGAAGUGAAAGAAGUCUGGAAGUACCAAAUACCUCCCAAUGCCUUCCUUCACAGAUGGCAGAGACUGGAUUUGCAGCUCACUCCACUUUGUAUUACUGCCCUCCCUGGGUUCAAUUCAAUGGAAAAAGAUGCACGCUUGCCUAGUUCCUUCUUUGGCUGUGGAGAAUAUUCUUUCAUCAUGCAUGCCUUGUGGAUAUCUAGGGACCUUACUUUGCUUAAAAUAGUUGCAUUCUCUGAUAAUGUUCCUGGUGAUACCUGAAAGUCAGGUGAUAUCAGUCUCCAAAGAAAUAAAAAUGCAGAUCAACCAGAAGGCA